CCUAAAAAUAAAAUGAAAAUAUGUGUAUUAUGUUUUUUAAAUGGAAUUUUUAGUGUACAUAAUUUCUCACUCUACCCUGAGAUUUUUGACAAAAUGUCUAAUUUCAGGGGGAUACACGUACUAGCCCCGGCUAGUCCCCAGUCUGAAGUGGGCCUGGGGGAAUCCAGGUGUGUCAAUUCGGAAGUAACUUCAGCACUUUCCUAUGUUAGCUAUGGGAAACAGCAGGACUCUGCAGGUGCCGGACCCCCAGAAGCACCCUGCCCGAGGAGGGCCGCCCAUGUGGUGGGGACGCGUACCUUAAAGAGCGGAGACACGCGUGCCCUCCUCAGGGACUCCUCCAGACUGAAGGAGAAAAGCACCUCGGCCUCGGCGUCUCGGAGAACGUAGCUCUGCUCAUCUGGAAAAGAGAACAGCACACCGUCCACCAGUGCACACAGUCCACCGGUGCACGGCGCCCGGGGUGCACCGUGCCAUCUGCUCCAGGCUGCCCCUGGUCAGGGAUCGCGCCUGGGCCCCCUGCAUUGGGAGCACGGAGUCUUAACCACUGGACCACCAGGGAAGUCCCUGAAGUGCUACAUUUGAAAUGCACCCCCAAAAGGCCUCCGUGUGGCACCUCCAAGGGAAGCAGCCAAUCAGCGCUCCACUUCACCAGCAGCCCCGCCCCCGCCCUCACUGGCCUUGCUGGUCCUGAAGAGCGGAAGGCCCCCCACCCCAGGCUCCAGUCCUGUGUCUUCCACCUGCCCUGUCUCAACCCAGACGGCACAGAACAAAGCUGUUUGACUCAAGCACACGUUUUAAAUUAAACCUCAGUCUUUUUCAUUUCCUUCAAUUUUCUCAAAUCCUAUUUUUAGCUUAUAUUUUAGACAGUCUAUUCAAUUAAGAAAAACUUAUUUGUGGCAUUUUAAUGACAUAUAUAAUCACAUAAUUAGCCUUUCACUAAAAAAAUCCAAUCAUUCCCAGACUGUAUGGAUGUGGGGAAUGGCAGGAGGGAGCGCUGAGGGGCAGGGAAGAGAGGAGGCCCCUCGCUGAGCACGGCCUGGAGGGCCUCUGGGUUCUAAUGGAGCCGCCGGCCUCUCUUUACCAGGUGAGACCAGCGCAGGUCUGCACACAGCCACCCCCCGCCGACCCGCUGGGUCAGGGGUCGGGACGCAGGCUCCCGGGCCCACACCGAGGACGCCUGGAGCAGGUUCCAGUCCCCCACCCCCGUUCCACCACAGCAGCUCACCGGGGGUUCUGGCGCGGUUCUGGUUAAUGGAGAAGAUUCAACUGUUUUUUUAAUGAGAGGAAAAAACACUGGCUAUUCCCUGUUUAUCUCCAGCAAUGAAAUGAGACGUGCCACGAUAAAGCUGUGAUGCAGUCAGCAAAUCCUUCCAAAUCCUGUUCACUGUGAACACUUCAGGGAACUUUCCCAACUGCCACCAUUUUCUAAAACAAACCUGUAAAAGCUCAUCAACCAUUAAAAAAAAGAAAAAAAGGCGCUUCUUCCUACCUGGCUCUUUUGGAAGAGGGCUGGAUAGCAGGGGCUUCAUUCUGCUUCAGUUUGGGAGGCAGUCGUACACCCUGUGAUUAAAAUAUGAUUCACUUUAAUCAGUCUCCCCAGUAACACAGUAGCUUCCGAGAGCUUUCCACCUACCCCACUGUGUACGAGACACACGCACCCACCACCACGCCUCACCAGCCGAGACAGACACACGCGAGCCUUCCAGGGAAGCCCUGGGCUGGUGGCCUCAUUAUUCACCAGACCCAGCAGUUCUUUAAAACGUCUUCACCCCUCUCUCUGUUCACGUUACGGAUUUAAUCCUUAACCUUGAACUUUUCAGAACACUUUUCACUUCAAAUAUUUUGUCUUGUGUCCCAGUUUGGAAUUUGGAAAACAUACUCAUUGCAACUACAUGCCCAAAAAGAGACUCUUCCUGAACUGAGAUGUCACCCACGAGGGUUCAGGACGAUCAGGUCACAGUGCUCUGGAGGGCGGGGCAAGGUGCUGAAGGCCGCUCUGGUCCCCAGGUGCGGGGCGCCCACGUUCCUGGAACCAGCUGGAGCCCCUGACCUGCGGACACGCUGAGUCGAAGGGCAGGGUGAGGCCGGUGCCCCUGGAGGAACCCCCGAGUCAGCCUUCACCCUUGCCUCACCUCUGUGCAGACCUUUGUCCACAAAUACACUUUCUCUCUGUUUUACUACUUGAAGCAAUGACCUCUUAAUCUGAGAUGAGAGUGCAGAUGCCCCCCCCACUUGUUUCAUAACAACCAACUGCUGGCCUUCAGGUCCAGAACGGUCCCUCCUGAAGGUACCCUAUCAGAGCUCAGCCAGCGGGCUGGAACCCCACCUGGGACAUGCGGGAACAGUCCCAUCACGGUGAGGUCCAGGCUCCUGCAGAGUGAGCUGUGGGUCCAGGGCUACUGCACUAACGCCUCAGCUCUUGCCUCCCUGACCCUAUGGAAACACGUCGUCUUACUUACUCAGCUCUCCGAUUCUUUAAGAAGCGAUAAUGUUCCUAAUGUGUAUAAAUAUGAAUAACUGACAAAUAUGAAUAACUGACAAUAUCAUCAAUUAAGAAAAAAAGAUGCAGGGUAUACUAAACAGCUACGACAGGCGAGAAGAUACAGCCCUCAUUUGUUAUGGUGACAAACUACUAAAAGAAUUCUUAAUUCACAAAUACAAAUGUAUCCCUCCUGCAUGUGUAUAAUACACAGUAACAGCCAAAGUAAGGUAAUUAGCUUGACAUACCAUCAGCAACUCUGCGGACACUUUCAAUGGAACUCGCCAAGCAUCUGAAGAGAGAAACGGGUUACUUUUCACAUAUACUGUGUAAACAGAUAAGCCGUGUUACAAAAGCCUUUUCAUGACACAUACACACACUACUAUACAUGAAACAGAUAACAAGGACCUACUGUAGAGCACAGGGAACUCUACUCAAUACUCUGUAAUGACCUACAUGGGGAAAGAAUCUUAAAAAAAAAAAAAAGAAUAGAUACACAUGUAUGUAAAACUGAUUCACUUUGCUGUACACCCGAAACUUACACAACACUGUAAAUCAACUAUCCUCCAAUUAAAAAAAAAAAAAAAAAGGAAGUGUAUCAUCAACAACAAAAACAAAAAGCCCUUUCAGGAGCGGGUAAUCCUGGACACACGGUGGCUUGGCGGACAACCUUUAAUAAGGGGAAAAUGUGAGGACUGUUACUAAGCGGCUGCAGUGAUGGGCACAGCAGAGGCUGCCCGCCCCGCGUGUGCUGUCCCCCCCGGCCAGUUCUGGGAGCCACACAGUCCGGCUUCUAAGAAACCGACUGCGACGAGGGGGCUGACACCAAGGACCACAGCGCGCCGGGCGGCGACCGUGCAGAGCACCGAGGGUGCGUGUCCACUGAGGACGAGGUGACGUCACACCAGCAGGUGCGUCACAGGGGAGCAAGCAGACCACAGCUCAAAAUGAAGACGGGCUUUCUCGUGACUGAAGCCAUUCAAACUGGAACUUAACAGGCUCCUUUGAGAGACAGCACGUUAAAGCAGUGUUCGAAUUGAACGCCCGUUUUCUGGAGUAACGUUCAGUUCACUAAAUGCAGUAACGUUAAGUGCUGUAGCGUGUACAGUCGGGGUAGUGAUCCUUCCACCAGUUUUGCGCAGCUGAAGGGGAGGUGGGCACACGGGGAGCCUUGGACAGACCAGAGCCGGCUUGAGACAAGAUCAGCAGGCUUCUGCACGUUCCUGCUACCUCUGAGAGUCCGUUUAGAAAACGCAAACCAAAACACACAGCAACAAAAACUCCUGGGCAGAGUGCAGAGGAAGAUGUGGCGAGGAAACGGGAAAUGAAAUCAGAACGAUGAGAGGGCCGAAGCCGAGACAGGUGGUGCUUAGUACGCAGGCUGGCGGCAACGCGGAACCGGCCCCGCUUACCCAGAAGGUUUGAGACCAAGUGCGGAGCCGGGGCGAAGGGGUCCUGCAGGCUGAAGGUGGUGUAGCGGCCGUACUGAAUCUGCCGCAGGGCCUCCAAGUUCCCCAGGAGGAUGUCUCCCAGCCACUGGGCGUUCACGCACGGGAUCCUCCACUCCUUGGCUUUCUCGUACUUUAAACCAGUUGGUCUUUUUUUUGAAGAGAAAACACAUUUAUUAAAUGUUAGAGUUCUGUGUUCAAGUUUAUAUUUACAUUCAACAAAGCCAGUCCACAUUUUCUCACACUAGAAGUGGCAGGGAUGUUUCUGUAGAGCCGACCCUGGCUGGUAAGGAAGCGCACACAUGGGUCACGAGAUCAUCGCUAGGCCUACCUUUACCUUACUGCUGUUACCUGGGCUAAACUGCAUCUCAUUAAUUCAUCUAAUUUAAUUCUUCUGCUAGCAUUAUCAUAAAUAUCGUUGCUAUCCUGUUAACAGACUUUGGUUUUCACACCCUAAUUUCCGUCACGAAACUAUGACAUAUUAAGAAAUACAGCAGUGCUGACACAGCCACUACAGUGUGUAUAAACUGAAGAUUAAGGAUGGCUUCAGAACCGUGCUUACUCUUUACAGAUGAGAACUGUGUUGCUGCGGCAGAGAUAGCCCGUGUACUUGGCACCUGCCAAGUAAGCCAUUAACUUCAGGUCAUCCCUGUCGCUGUCAACAAAUCCAGUCACAGAAAUAAUCUAAGGAAAAAGAGCAAGAAGGCCAAAAUAUAACGACAGUUUAACCCAGUUAAUAGAACUGUCUUCUACAUUUUACUUGUUUUAUAGACACGUGUGUCUCCCUUCCCUCUCUGGCAUCACGAGAGGCAUCUAGUGACAUCAUCUCUAAGAAUGUCAAAACCAGAACUUUGUUAAUGGUGAAAGUGUUACACACACAGCCAGCAAGGGGAUGGAAAAGAAACCUACCAAGCGUGGGAAAACCAUUUUUGUGUUACUACGACACCGUUCAGAUCAUCUUAAUGAAGCUAUUGUAUUAAGCAUGUAAAGAUUAGUCAGUUCUUCUUACUGAUCCCAGUUUUGAGCUCAGCUGAGUGGGAGAACCCACAAGUGAUAACGUCUGGCCAACAGCAGCCACUUCUGGUUUGAGUCGCUUGCUUUGUUUCAGGAAUUUAUGAAACGGUGUCAGAGACUUAGGAGAGUCAAUGAAACAGUGACUCCGUGCAGAAGCCGCGACUGUUACAGGAGAACAGAAGGACGUAAGAUGCCUAUCGCGCUCGGCACCGGCCAGCGGGCCGUUCGCAGCCCACGGAGGACACGGGAGCAGACGACCCCCCCAGCAGAGGAGGAGGGGUGAGCCUUACGUGCUGGGAGCACGGCCUCCCCCCGGGCGGGAAGGCCACGGGGAAGUGCAGGGCCCGAUGGGGCGGCACGAGCCGCUUCUUCUUCAGCACCGCGUUCAGCCAGUGCGCCGUGACACACCUCUUCCUCUCCUUCACCGCCUGCAAAGGCAAGAGCACGGGCUGGUCUCGGGGGCUUUCACUGCAGGCUAAACACAGACUAUAAGGCUGGACAGCUAACAAGGCCACCUUUAACGGGAGUCCUAUAAAUAAAGGAAUCUCACAAGCUCAGCACUCAGUUUACUGAAGCCAUGAACUGCAACGGUGCCGCAGGUUAACUUUAACACACCCCGAAAACACUACCGGCCACCCAAGAACAAGAGCCAACCGGGGGGGAAGAGCUACACGUCUGACAACCUGGAAAUAACUUCAGUCAUGGAAGGAGACGACAUUUCUGAUCAUCAAAAUUAAAACCGCCCCAUGAGAACACAAAGGGCCCCGCACACAAGUCACGAAAGAACCCAACUGCUCACCUAAAAGUAAGCACCGAGCACCUCCCCACAGGCACCACUACCUACUCUAACAGGGGUUCCUUAGAGGCCGUGUGUCACACACACUGACACGCGUCUGUCUACAAAUAACAUUUUUAAGAAAAGAGAAGAAAUGAACUUUCAGGGGAGAGCAGGUAAUACUGAGGAGGAAGCGUCUGCUCUGCAGGACAGAAGCUUGGAGGACUGACCAGGUCAGGCCUGCAUACGAAUCCCCCAACAGUUAAGAAAUCCUGCUUCCGGCCGCUCUUCAUUCAGUGUGGCCCUGGACUGGAGCGGAAGGCCGUCUACCCUCCCCUAGCACCACCUGGGAUGUCCCCUUCUCCAUUCCUCACAGACAGAAAGGCCUGGUGGCCACAGAGGUAUCUAUCUAACCCACCAAAGAUCGAGGAGAAUUAGUAAGAAGCAAUUUUCUAUUUUUAGAGGUAGAAAAAAGUCCUUUCCAAACACGAUCAUCACUAGAGUCACUUAGAACGCUAACACUGUCCAGAGAAAGGGACAGACUCGGUUCCAUCGCAGCUGAGCCCCCACUCACCUGUGCGAACAGCCCGCUCACUUGACUCUCACAGAGCAGGUGUGUGCAGCGGCUCGAGAACGUGGGGUCCACAGCACCUCCGUGCGCCUGGAUUAUCUAGACACGCACAAGACCCAGAGUCACAGUCAACCUCCAGCGCUCAGGGGAAGAGGGAAUUGUAAUUUCAAAUAAGACGGCUACUAAAAGAAUCCAUUAUACAUUUUCAUCGUCUAGUUCCCCAAAAGUAGAAAAGAUGUUAUCAGCUAUAUCUACGGACUUUUCCACCCUGCACUGUACAAUAAAAAUGAACGUUAACACCAUUCCAUCUGAACUUCCAAAGGAAAAGUGGAAUGCUCUUUCUAAAACAGGGUUUCUCAACUGGGCACUACGGACGUUUUACACCAGCUGACUGAGCUGCGGGGGUGGAUCCUGAGCAUCUCAGGGGGCCGGCAGCACCCCUGGCCUCUCCCCCUGAGACGCCAAUAUCACUCCCCUAGCUGCGACAGUGAAAAAUGUCUCAGACAUUGCCAAUCGUCCCCCGGGGCUAGAAUCACUGCUUUUAAGAAACGUUAUUCUAAAAGGGGGAAAAAAACAAAACCAAAAAAAGGUCAAAUGAAGUCUGUGAACACCAGAAAAUUAUUUUUAAAAACAGAUUCAGUUUUUUGGGGUGAGGGGACUGUCCCGUACCUCGACGGCAGUGGUUACAUAGUUGUGUGGCACUAAGGGGAACUGGUCAAAACUUAAAACGCUGUAUACCGAAAGAGCGAGAACUUUAUAUGUUAAAAAGACCUGCCCCACGAAACAAUUCCAUUUCAUUUACAACUUUUUAAAAUUUUUUAUUAAAAAAAUGUUUUUUAAACUGGAGUCUAGUUGAUUUACAAUGUGGUGUUAGUUUUAGGUACACAGCACAGUGAUUCAGUUACACGUACACAUAUACAAGUCCUUUUCUUAAAAUAUUCUUUUCCGUUACGGUUCAUCACAGGAUGUUGAACGCAGCUCCCUGUGCGCUACAGCAGGACCCUGCUGCCUGUCCAUUCUCUGCGCUCUCGCUUACACCUGCUGACCUCACACUCCCUCCCACUCUAUCCGCCCCGCAACCCGCUGCUUCUGGGCGACCACAAGUCUGUUCUCUGUGUUCAUGAGUCUGCUUCUGUUUUGUAGAUAGAUUCGUUUGUGUAGCAUUUUAGAUUCCACAUCUAAGUGAUAUCAUAUGGUAUCUGUCUUUCUCUGUCUGGCUUACUUCACUUGGUAUGAUCAUCUCUAGGUCCAUCCAUGUUGCUGCAAAUGGCAUUAUUUCAUUCCUUCUUAUGGAUGAGUGAUGUUCCGUUGCAGAUAUGUGCCACGCCUUCCUUAUCCAUUCAUCUGUCGACGGACAUUUAGGUUGCUUCCACGUCUUGGCUAUUGUGAAUAGUGCUGUGAACACAGGGGUGCGUCUUUUUGAAUUAUAGCUUUGUCUAGGUUUAUGCCCAGCAGUGGGACUGCUGGGUCACACAGUAGUUCUAGUUUUAGCUUUUUGAGGAACCUCCAUGCUGUUCUCCAUAGCGGCUGCACCAACUUACAUUCCCACCAGCAGUGUAGGAGGGUUCCCUUUACUCCACACCCUCUCCAGCAUUUGUUAUUUGUUAUUUUUAAUGAUGGCCAUUCUGACCUGUGUGAGGUGGUACCCCAUGGUAGUUCUGAUUUGCAUUUCUCUAAUAAUUCGUGAUACUGAGCAUCCUUUCGUGGGCCUACUGGCCAUCUCUACGUCUAUUUUAGAGAAAUGUGUUUCGGGUCCUCUUCGAUUGGGUUGUUUUUUUGUGGCUGAGUUGUGUGAGGCUGUUUGUGUAUUUUGGAAAUUAAGCCCUUGGCACUUGCAUCAUUUGCAAAGGUUUUCUCCCAGUCAGUAGGUUGCCUUUUCAUUUUGUUUAUGGUCUCCUUUGCUGUGCAAAAGCUUGUAAGUUUGAUCAGGUCCCAUUUGUUUGUUUUUGCUUUUAUUUCUACGGCCUUGGGAGACCGACCUAAGAAAACAUUGGUAUGACUUAAGUCAGAGAAUGCUUUCCCUGUGUUCUCUUCUAGGAGUUUUACGGUGUCAUGUCUUACACGUUUAAGUCUUUAAGCCAUUUUGAGUUUAUUUUUGUGUAGGUGUGAGGGUGUGUUCUAACUUCACUGAUUUACAUGCAGCUGUCCAGCUUUCCCAACACCACUUGCUGAAGAGCCUGUCUCUUCUCCAUUGUAUAUUCUUGCCUCCUUUGUUGAAGAUUAACUGACUGUAGGUGUGUGGGUUUAUUUCUGGGCACUCUAUUGUGCCCAUUGAUCCACUGAUCCAUAUGUCUGUUUUUGUGCCAGUACCAUGCACUGUUUUGAUUACUGUAGCUUUGUAGUAUUGUCCAAAGUCUGGGAGGGUCAUGGCUCCUGCUUUGUUCUUUUUCUUCAGGAUUGCUUUGGCAAUUCUGGGUCUUUUAUGGUUCCAUAUAAAUUUUAGGAUUACUUGUUCUACUUGUGGAAAAUGUCAUGGGUAAUUUGAUAGGUGUGGCAUUAAACCUGUAGAUUGCUUUGGGUAGUAUGGCCAUUUUAACAAUAUUAGUUCUUCCCAUCCAAGAGCAUGGGCUAGCUUUCCAUUUCUUUCAGUCAUCUUCAAUUUCCUUUAUUAAUGUUUUAUAGUUCUCAGCCUGGACGUCUUUCACCUCCUUGGCCAGCUUUAUUGCUGAGUAUUUUAUUUUGGGGAGUAUGAUUUUAAAAGGAAUUGUUUUUUUCACACUCCCAUUUUGAUACUUCAUUAUUAGUAUAAAGAAAUGCAACCGAUUUCUGUAUGUUGUAUCCUCCUCCUACCUUGCUGAAUUCAUUUUUGUGUGUAGUCUUAAGGGUUUCCUGUAUGUAUCCAUGUUAUAUGAAUACAAUGACAAUUUUACCUCUUCCCGAUCAAUUCGGAUACCUUUUUAUUUCUUGUCUGAUUGCUGUGGUUAGGACUUCCAAAACUAUGUUGAAUAGAAGAGGUGAAGUGGGCAUCUUUGUCUUGUUCCAGAUUUUAGCAGGAGGGCUUUCAGCUUUUCACUGUUGAGUAUUGUAUUGGCUGUGCGUUUGUCAUAAAUAGCUUUUAUUAUAUUUUGGUUCCUCUAUACCCACUUUGGUAAGAGUUAUCAUGAAUGGGUGUUGAAUUUCGUCAAAUGCUUUUUCUGCAUCUAUUGAGAUGAUCAUGUGGUUUUUGUCUUUUCUUUUGUUGAUGUGCUGUAUCACACUGAUUGAUCUGUGUCUGCUGAACCAUCCUCAUGAACGUGAGCUGAUUCCCACUUGGUCGUGGUGUUAUCAUCUAUGUUUUGUAGGAUUAGGUUUGCUAAUACUUUGUUGAGCAUUCCUGCAUCCAUCUAUGUUCAUCAAAGAUACUGGCCUGUAAUUUUCUUUGUUGGUAGCGUCUUUGUCUGGCUUUGGUAUCAGGGUGAUGGUGGCUUCACAGAAGGUCUUUGGGAGUGUUCCCUCCUCUUCAGUCUUUUGGAAGAGUCUGAGAAGGAUUGGUGUUAAGUUCUUCUUUGUAUGUUUGGAAGCUCCCUUUCUGUCCCCGCUGAUCUCCCUGACAGGGAGGGGCCUCCCAGGGUGCAGGAACCUUUCCUCUUUCACAGCUCCGUCCCAAGGGCACAGGUCCCAUCCUGAUUCCUUUCUCUCUCUUUUUUUCUUUUUUCUUUUGUCCUACCUGGUUACGUGGAGAUUUUCUUGCCCCUUCAGAAGUCCGAGGUCUUCUGCCAGCGUUCAGUAGAUAUUGUGUGAGAGCCGUUUCCACAUGUGCACGUAUUUCUGACGCACCUGUGGAAGUGGGUGGAGCUCCACGUUGCUCUCCUCUGCCAUCCUGACCCACUCCUCUCCAUUUACUACUUUUAAAAUUUGAUUUUUACGUUGAUUAAAGUGACGCAUAAACAUAGUUUAAUAAGGCCCAGGACAAAACCAGCAGUUUGCUAGUACCCCACUCACUUUCCACUCCCCUAAGGCUGCCACAUCCAGCUCUUUAACUCCUUCUGGUAAUUAUUAAUAUAUUCUAACUAAUACAUUCUAUGCAAUUUCUUUUUUAGCUUUAGAUGUUAUCUACAACCUCCUACUGUGGAGGCCACCUUCCCCCCAGAAACUAAAACACACACACACACACACACACACACACACACACACGCACGUGCGCCUUCCUAAUCUGGUUCUAUCACAGUCCCUAUUUCAAUCAGCCUUUGGGAUUUAAUACAGUACAGCUCACCACCUACCUGGUCUAGCAGGGCACACCGGGACGAAGUUCCUUUCUGCUACCAACUUUUGCUUUCCCUGGUGUUAACAAAUGCCUCAUUCCCCUCCUUCUCGUCUGUCUUUUUCUUAGCUUUCCAUGUACCUUUCACUAUUUCUUUCCCAGACUCUUCAAAGAAAUGCAACGUGCUGGCUCAAAAGCAUGUCACCUGACUCUCCUCCCUCCAGGGGCCAGGGCUGGACUCGGCCUGGAGCAUGGGCCAGACCAACAGAGCGCGCCGGGCGAUGGCAUGCGGCCUCAGCAAAGCCACGGGGGAGUCGGCGCCAUGCUGAGCGGACGCGCUCCCUGGAGAGGCCCGGGGCGGGGGGGUGGGGCCCCCCAAGAGCCAUGGGGGCGGCAUUCUAAGCGGUCCCUGCAGCCCAGCAGAGCCCUCAGAUGCAGCCUCCUGGGGGCCAGGGCUCUAGCCACCCACCGAGCCGCUUCAGGACUUCCAGCCCACACAGGAACCACGGGGUAGUAAGUGUCUGUUGUUUCAAGUCACUGAGUCUCGGGGGAGUCAUCACACAGCAACAGAAGACGAACGCAGUGUCACCUCCGCUUAACACGGUCCAGCCCCUCCAGCGACCUGUCUCCUCCACCCCGUGCCGUCCCUCCCGGACGCCGCCCCCCGCUCCGGUGCUGGCUGGUCCCUCUCCAACAGCUCUCACGCCUGUCUGGACUGCCCUGCACCCUCACCCUCGGAAUCCCUUUCCAUCUCUGGGUCAAGCCCCACCCUUGGCCACACCCUCCUCUUGGGUGGCAUGGCACACGGCAGGCACAGUUUCUGACUGGGGGAGUCUGAAAAUAUCUUCAUCCCACAGUCCCAUUUGACUGCCGGACUGGAUACGGCAUCCCGGGCUGGGAAUCAUGGGCUGCCUCUGAGAGCCAGACGCCCACCCAGGUCCCGCUGGUACGCAUCCUCAAGCCCUGAGCCCAGGCAUCCCUCACACGUUGCACCUUCACGGCAGCCCGAACAGCGCCCUCUUCUCUCCUUUCAAUCUGCAGAAACGCCCUUCAGUUAUAAGCGACCUUCUUUCAACUUUCUUGCCUUCAUUUCCUCUGUUCCCAAACUUCCAGGAUUUAAUUUUGGACCUCUCGGACUAACCUUUUAACUGACAAACAAAAACAAAACCCCCAAAACCGAAAGCAAACCUCUUCGUAUCUCUGAAUUUUGUUCUACUUUUUUCUUCAGGAUACUUUCUAAAUAUCAUUACCCCCUACACUUCCAUAAUUAAAAACAAAACGUCUGCCGCUGUAACUCUCAGACAGGCGUCUCCUCCCCUGCCCCUGGCGGCUGCCCUCCUUCGGGUGCUCAGCGCUUCCCAACCAAGCCCCAGCCCAGCCACCUCCCCGGCCUUCCGUGCCCAACAUCUCACGGCCACACGCGCACCUGCCCACGCUCCACACGCUCUCAAGACGAUGGGGAGCAAACUCCGGUUCCUACAACGCGCCAGGUAAGUCGGGUCUUAGUCUCCGGCCCUCCGUGACUCCCGGACCCCAACCCUAACCCCGCCCCCAGGGGCGUGCUCUCCCGCUGCCGCGCCCCUUCCGCAGCCCCGCGGCCCUGCCGACGCCACUCUCUCCACCGGGACCCCUCCCUCCCCUGAACGCUUACUCGGCCUCGCAGACAGGGUCCUCUGCUUGAUAAGCACCCGCCCGGCUAGCACCUUUCUCCAGGCUCUCCAGCACCCAACGUGCUGCUCACCGUCACCUGAGCGUGCGGCUGCUCCUCCACCCGUCUCACGGUUUCCUCGCUCCUGUUCAGUCACCAGCGUUCCCUAGGUCUGACACUGCCUGGCACAUGGCGGGGGCUUAGACACCAACAGUGCUUGCAGGGAAGCCACUGCAGAUGCAUCUGAAGCACACAAACUCAUGUUUUUAAAGAAAACUGGGCUCAAUUCGAUUUGUGGCACUGCGAGAGAAAGUGUUUGCUUCUCCUUUCCUUUAAAGGCCACUGUGCACACUAAUAAAUCAAUCAACGGACUCAGUUCCACGCCUGGGCUAGAGGACUCUGCGGUCCCUUCCAACCACUCGCCUUUGGAGAACAGAGAUGACACAGCUACGUAUAAGUCCAGGGUCCCGACCCGAGAGCACCAAAACCCGAUCUUCUUCCCACACCCCCGGUUAUAUACAAGUCAUCCGUGCCACUCAGAAUUUCAGGACUGAAAAUAAGAAUGAGAAAGUCCAACCUUUUCCACUUACAGUUUGGAAAACUGAAGCCCAAACAGCGGAUCUGCCCAAGGUCCCGGGGGUGUUAAUAAAAAUGCCCAUAACACCUUCAGGUAUUAUACGUGUGUGUGUAGGUAUACGUAUCUGUAUCUGCAUCUCAGUAACCUUACCCUUUUCCACGUGGCCAGCAGCUGCUUGUCAGACAUCUGCUCUGGAUAAUCCGCAACUGCAAACACACAUCCCAGUAAGAAGCCUUCUUCUGGAACUAGAAUAGAAUCAUACGCAUUAAAGUCCCAAACGCAUGAAUGUGUGCACAAAACAUAAACAAGCUCAUCUUGCAGAGUUCAGUAUGAAUGCGUGAAGCGAGUCACGCUCGACCAUCACGUAUCCACCAGUACGGUGAGGACCUCUGGCACACUGCUGCAAACAUAGUUGCUCACCUGUCUACGUUAAGUGACUGAGAACACGAAACCAACGGUUCCUGCCUGGGCACUGAGCAUCCCGAGUUGGUCCCUGCGGCAGCCUGAUGUUCUAUGGACGCCACUGUUCACUUCAGGGCAUGGCGUCCCAAAGUACCAAAGAAAUCUAACUGUUCCAUCCUCCUAACUAUAUCCUUUGUUAGGUAAUGAGACCCCCGUUCCCCGUUUUCUAAGAGUUGUUUUGGCAUGAAUCCUUACCCUACCUGCAAACACUCUCCAAGUAAGUACAGGACUUUUGGGAGAAAAAGAAGGAAGAAGCCACAUUACUAACUCUCUACUGCUGGGUCGUGUCCGAACAGCUGGCGCUGCGGCUGGCACGGCGGGGCCUGGGGCGCCUGCGUUUGCAUCUGCUGCUGCUGGUGCAGGCGCUGGAGCUGCUGCAAGUGUGCGAGCUGGUGCUGCAGCGCCUGCUGCUGCGGGGGUAACUGAGGCUGGUGGGCCUGCGGCGGUGGCCGAAACGGAUGCGGCGGCGGCGGGUAAGGCUGCUGCUGGAGCUGCAGGGCCUGCUGGGGCGGCAGGUGCAGGACGGACGGCGGGGCCGGUGGUGACAGAUGUGACUCCGGGGUCACUUUCGCCUGGCUGAGCAGCGCUGCAUUCGCAUGGCUCUGCUGGCUGUGGUUCACCUGUGGCUCUAAGGUCUUUGUCGGAGCUGCGAGGGACUGUAAGAUCUGGAAACAGAAAUCAGGCGAGGUGGUCAUCAGCAGCUGCUGACAUGUGCUCCCCAGCCCUCAUCAGGAGGGCGACGGCACACCCUACACGCCGUCAGCCAGACGUUCGCUGGCCGGACGGUGCAAACACAGCUGCCGUUGUCUCCUGUGCACUAAGCAUCACCAGCCUCCGUGAAGCAAGUAAGUUCAUAUCGUGAGACGUUUUCCCCAAAAUGUGAAACUAACCUCAGUGAAGUGGAACAAGCUAAUGAGUGAAAGCUGACCGACACAAGCUCAAGUGGCCGACGUGCUCUAGAGCAGAGGGACGGGGGUUCGGCCACAAUGACCUCGCCGGCCCCAGGGCGCGGCCUUGUCCCUCCGGGGCCCCCUCCUGCCCGGCCACGAAGGCACCGGCAGCCGGACAGCCUGACCCAAGCCUCCUUCCCACAGCUGCCGCUUCCCAUAGGAGCAAGGGGUGCGGCAGAGGAGGACGCAAAGACCUGUGAAGGCACGGGACACAGGCGACCCUGGAGAGCAGCCGCCGGCCCCUCCCGUCUGCGGUCGUCCUGCUCUGUCACACGAACGAGGGACGGAAGAGACACCAGCACUAGUUUUGCUUGCGUGGUCGACCUUCCCCCAGCAGAGAGGCCCUCAGCACAGCUGGUACACUCGCCUUCCUCAGAGGUGACGGGAGCUCCACACGUGGGACAGAACACCUCAAGCUAGAGAACCUGCCGCCAGCCAGCUGGGGUUGAGCUCACCCUCCCUCCCAGGGACAGGAGUCGGCCUGAGGGCCGAACAAGCUGCAAGGCGGGAAGGGGCCGGACCGGGACCAGGAGACACCAGCUCGCUGAGCGUCAGAUCGCCAUGUCAUUUUACUACCCUGCGCAGCGCUGGAUGUAACAAAAGAAACGUGUCAUACAAUGAAUUUUCCCAACAUGCUCAAGUAAGAAAAAUUGGAAGCCAACUUCUCAUAGUCAAGGAAGCCAGUAACAAACAGAUUUUACCAAAAGUCAAUCAAUACAAUUUAUCCCUAUUAAAAACAUCCUUGUCAUUUAAAUAAAACUCCAGAAAUGCAACUUUCACAUAAACCAAACCUAUACAAAAAUCUCAAAUAUGUUUUUGACAUAUCUUUAUCACUUAAAACAGACUCCAAAACAUAAAGGUUAUAUAAUUUGCAAGAGUAACAGACUUUGGAUUUAGUGGUGAAAUAAAUUAAAAUUGAAAUAAGUUAAACUCAAGGGUUUGAGUAUAUCUGUCUUUGAAGUCAGCCUAUAGGUAAGACAUCUCUAUAAGGAGACUCUUUGGGUACUUUGAAAACUCCUCAAGUUGAGCUCUGAGCAGGAAGAAAAGUUUUCAACACGUUUGUAAUCAACAGGAUAACUAAUUCUUCUCUACCAAGUGUUAAAAAAUACCCAGUGAAGUGGAGGGAGAAAUGAACCCCACCACAUACCCUGCACAAGUAUACAGAACAGCAUUUGGGACGCUAACAUUUCCAUAAAAAAGCAGGCAGGGGCUUCCCUGGUGGAAGUCCGCCUGCCGAUGCGGGGGACGCGGGUUCGUGCCCCGGUCCGGGAGGAUCCCACAUGCCGCGGAGCAGCUGGGCCCGUGAGCCAUGGCCGCUGAGCCUGCGCGUCCGGAGCCUGUGCUCCGCAAUGGGAGAGGCCACGACUGAGAGGCCCGCGUACCGCAAAAAAAAAAAAAAGAGGCAGGAGUGGGGAGGGGACCCUGCCUGGAUAUCUGCAGAUGGGCCACGAGCCCACACAAAGGACACUGGUCUGGCAGAGGGGUCAUGGGGUCAGGGGUGGGAGGGAGUUACCAUCACUUUACAGCCUGUGGUACCCUUAAAAUUUAAACUUUUGUACAUAUGUUACUCUUUCACCCCCAGAAGUAAAAGCCUAGGGUAGAUUUGAUACAGCCUGCCUGUCUGCCAUCACGAACAGGGCUGACCUGACUGCCGCUCCCCAGGCCAGGGGAGCUCCUGGUGGCGUCAGGUGGGCCGGCAGGAACGCCCGGGGCCAGGACUCAGCUGGAGGCCCCUUCCGUGGGUGACCAUGUUCUGAAGGGGCUGGGGGAGGCCAAGACGCAACAGGAGGGCAACUCAGAGCAGACAGAGACACUGGCAAGAGCCCAGCCACCUCUCAGAGUCUGAGAGGUGGACAAUGGCCUGGAAAGCCGUGCAUGCACCUGGCCAGCCUGGCUGGGGAGCGGGCAGCCCGGCAGGCCAGGGGGUGUGAGGUGCCCCUUAGAACACCUUGCACACUCAUCACAUGGCUUGUUCAACCCUCUGACCUGCCUCUGGCCGAGAACCUAUGUUAGUCCUGAAGAAUCAAAGAAAAACUCUUAACUGCUUGGGCACACGAUUCGCCACACUGCCAGCUACCAUUUUUAGUGAACGUCAACUGUGAAUUUUUCCCUCAUAGUUGCCACAGUCCUCACUUAAACUACUUAAUACUGAGAGCCACAACAUUUUCAUAAAACAGCACGAUAUACACCACACGGCUCCUAACCACCAGAAAGUUGCAAUUUAAACAGGAGUUUGGGACUUCCCUGGUGGCGCAGUGGUUGAGAGUCCGCCUGCCAAUGCAGGGGACACGGGUUCAUGCCCCGGUCCGGGAGGAUCCCACAUGCCGCGGAGCGGCUGCGCCCGUGAGCCAUGGCCGCUGAGCCUGUGCGUCCGGAGCCUGUGCUCCGCAACGGGAGAGGCCACAACAGUGAGAGGCCCGCGUACCGCAAAAAAACAAAAAAAAACCCCCAAAAAAACAGGAGUUUGAUGGUUGCUAUGUUUCCUCAACCCCCUGAUCUAAUUUUAAACCAAAUCUUUUAUUUCUAACAUUUCAAAGGUUCAUUUUCUUCACAUCUAGCAGCAAAAUGGCCUAGUGUUCUGACACUGCUGAAGAACCCUCAGACCUCUGCGCAAGCGUUCUCAUUAGUGAUCAAAACCAUUCCCUCGCUAGAACUGGUCCCGCCUCUGCACGCGGCUGAGUAGAUCAGGUCCGUCUUCUGCGGAGGUCCGACCUGCAGGACGACGCAAAGGCAGAGAUACGCCCAGCUCACCCCGCCUCCAGGUGUAGUCAGCAUUUCCAUUUCCAAUGAGAUGAGUUUACCUCUACAUCCAAAUGGAGGGAACUUGGGAUUUAAGUCAACAUCCACUGUAUUUGAAAAAUGCGGAAUCCAGAAGACAUGCCCAGUCACUGACCAGCAGUGCUUUCUACCCUCCAGUGAAUGGACAGCUCCGCACUUCUGUCCUGUUCCCGCUCCUCGUUCCUCAGCUGAGGACGGGGGAAGAGGCUUUGCACACUGGCUCCUCCAUCCUCCCAGCGCCCACGUGGGUCUCCGCCUGCCAGCAGGGCAGGCCCCCUGAACAGCCCAGGUCGCCUCUCCAGACCGGCUGGCCCUCCAGCCUCCCCACGCCCCCAAUUUCUGAUCUCCCCUCCGCGCUCUGCCUCUGGCCUGGCAUGCGCAUCCCGCCCACCCCGCGUGCUCCGUCUUCCGACCACCUCCUCGCUCUCCGCGAGGCCCCUGCGGAGCUGGGUGCUGACACGCGGGCCCAGGCGCCCACAGAUGCGCCCACUCUUUCCUGGGCUCCACCUUCUCCCUGAGCCUUGGUGACACCAUCGGGCGAGGCCUGGCCCUGCCAUUCUCUGACCACCUCAUCUCAGGGACCUCGUCCUCGUUCCCUCAGCCUCUCGCUGCCAAUCCCCCUUCAGACUCAAACUCACCUCCAGGACCAGAGGGAUUAACACAAAGCAUGACGGGAUGGAGUUCGGGAAGUGAGCACACAGAUGGAGCCCCAGUCCACAGGGCACAGCUGCUGCUCGGCCAUGAAGGACAGGCACCGUUCAGACUUCAGAUGCCAGCUCCGUUCUACGACCCCAUCCACUUCUCAAGACAGCCCGGAAACCCCGUCGUCACGGAGAAUCUCACGAUUUGGGCAAACAAAUCAAAUUUAAAUUAUCUGGGCCAAACUAAACAUGUUGAGCAGAACGCGGCCCGUCAGUGACUGGUGCGUGACCUCACUCUCCGCCUUUAUCACCAAAGCCACCGCACCCCCAAAACUGCUUUCCCUUCUGGGCUGCCAGGUACCCGUCGCCGCGGGGCUGCUCUCCGCGGCCCCCUCCCUGCCUGGGCCAGGCCCCACUGUGCUCACACUGGCUGACGGCCCAAGCUGGGGUCGUCAACUUACACUGGCUCCGAACCGGCUGCAGUAACACGUCUUCCCAGAAUCUCGUGUCGACUGUCGGAACCUUGUCCCCGAAGCCCCUGAGCCCCGUCUCUCCCCACACACCCUGCCCGCCUUUCUCGGGAUGCCACCCCUCCGGCGUCUCGAGGACCAGGCACGAUCAACUGGUCACUGCUGAAGCCGAGGGAGGGGAGGAAGAGUGCUCUUCAUGCACCUUUAACCAAUAAAGACUCUUAAAAACCUCCCCGCCAUCAGACGUGAUUGUGGUGCUGCGACUCGUAAUAAGAAGUAGCUACUUGCCCACCCCGACGAGAUCCCCCCAGUGGCUCCUUACAUGGAAGACAAGACCCUACGUGUCAACCUCCACCCACUCACCUAAGUUCAAGUCUCAAUGACUUUCCUCCCUUAGAACAGGGGUCCCCCACCCCCCGGUCAGGAACCAGGCCGCACAGCAGGAGGUGAGUGGCGGGUGGGCGGCGAAGCUUCACCUGCCGCUGCCCGCUGCCCGCCGUCGCCUGGGUCACUGCCUGCACCAUCCCUCCCCACCCCCGUCCGCCCGCGGAAAAACCGGUCCC
This is a long non-coding RNA of Orcinus orca (killer whale), 18556 nucleotides long. RefSeq lists it as uncharacterized. The transcript is spliced from 5 exons. The record is from RefSeq and is a predicted model, not a curated record. NCBI's taxonomy places the organism in Eukaryota, Metazoa, Chordata, Mammalia, Artiodactyla, Delphinidae.